This 477-nucleotide ribosomal RNA is filed under the name uncultured bacterium. RNAcentral describes it as "bacterial SSU rRNA". It matches the Rfam family "Bacterial small subunit ribosomal RNA", at positions 28 to 500 of the family's 1533-position model. The record is from RNAcentral.
GAUGAACGCUAGCGGCAGGCUUAACACAUGCAAGUCGAGGGGCAGCACGGGUAGCAAUACCUGGUGGCGACCGGCGCAAGGGUGCGUAACGCGUGAGCAACAUGCCCUAUACAGGGGGAUAAUCCAGGGAAACUUGGUCUAAUAUCCCAUAGUAUUUAGAGGAGGCAUCUUCUAUAAAUUAAAGCUUCGGUGGUAUAGGAUUGGCUCGCGUGACAUUAGCUAGAUGGUGAGGUAACGGCUCACCAUGGCAAUGAUGUCUAGGGGUUCUGAGAGGAAGGCCCCCCACACUGGGACUGAGACACGGCCCAGACUCCUACGGGAGGCAGCAGUGAGGAAUAUUGGACAAUGGAUGGAAAUCUGAUCCAGCCAUGCCGCGUGCAGGAAGACGGCCCUAUGGGUUGUAAACUGCUUUUAUAUGGGAGCAAUAAGGUUUACGCGUAGACCGAUGAGAGUACCAUAUGAAUAAGCAUCGGCUAA